This 72-nucleotide transfer RNA is filed under the name Candidatus Altimarinota bacterium. Its description in RNAcentral is "tRNA-Thr". It matches the Rfam family "tRNA". From Rfam's summary of the family: Transfer RNA (tRNA) molecules are approximately 80 nucleotides in length. Their secondary structure includes four short double-helical elements and three loops (D, anti-codon, and T loops). RNAcentral also lists the same sequence under 3 other names. Lineage: Bacteria; Candidatus Altimarinota. The record is from RNAcentral.
GCUGGUGUAGCUCAGUGGUAGAGCACCCGCCUUGUAAGCGGGCGGUCGUCAGUUCAAAUCUGUCCACCAGCU